This 12886-nucleotide long non-coding RNA is filed under the name Hordeum vulgare. RNAcentral describes it as "long non-coding RNA (HVUL_LNC013806)". Lineage: Eukaryota; Viridiplantae; Streptophyta; Magnoliopsida; Poales; Poaceae. The record is from RNAcentral.
UGCAGCCGACUGGACAAAAUCGCUCAUUCAUGCAAAUGAAUACAAUCAUGCAUUAAUACUCAAAAGAACAACGGGCCACAUACAAAGUAGAUGAACAUAUAGCAACAAGAAAAUAGUAAUCACAGAGUACUAAUUCUCAUCACACGUGUAUGGAACAAUAGAAAGAAAUUGAAUACAGGGAAUACUACACCACUUAUUCUAAUAAUAGCACACUGUGGCUCCGUAUUGGGUCUCCUCCGUCAAGUGUCGUAUAUAAGUAUCCCAUCAAUUAUGUGUUGCCGGUGGUUUGCACUUCGGAGGCGGCUUCGGUUUCGGUUCAGGUUUAGGCUUGGGCUCCGGCUUUGGUUCGGGUUUCGGCAUCGGCUCGGGCUUAGGACCUGGCUUUGGUUUGGAGCAGGGCUCGGGCUUUGGUUUUGGCAUUGGCUUGGGCUUGGGUUCUGGUUCGGGCUUCUCUCCGGGCUUUUGUUUAGGCUUUGGUUUGGGUUUUGGCAUCGGUUCAGGUUUGCAGGGCUCUGGCUCUGGUUGUGGCGCAGGUUUGGACAUUGGCUCUGGUUGUGGCGCAGGUUUGGACAUUGGCUCUGCUUUGGGUUCUGGCUUUGGCUCUAGCUCUGCAAAAUUCUCGACAGCAGCAAGGCCUCGGCCAGCCGCAACAACUUGGUUGAGAGUGGAGGCUGCAACUACCCCGAUGAGGAGCACGGCGAGGAGGCGAUGCCUCGCCAUUGCUGCCUACUUCUUGUGCUUGCAAGUUGUGUUGCACCUGUUGUGGUUUGUGUGUGUUUGUGUAUGUUGUGUGGAGAAUGGAGAUACAUAUGGUGUGGUUUUAUAGGCAGGGUGAAACAAAGCAGAUCUAGAUGCUGCAUUAAUUAACAUUGCAGCUAGCUAGCUGGAGUGACAAGUAGUACUGCGUAACAUGGCAAUGGAGCUAUAUUGGUCGAUUAGUUGAUUACAAAUGAAGCAACCAACGUAGCUAGAGGUGUUAAUAAGCACAGCUGGAUUUUGCGUGUGUGUCUCUAUGUGAUGAUAGUGGGGUGAGUAACAAUAUUUUUACUCUAUUGGUUGGCCUCCUGGUAGUAAUAGAAUCAUGUUAGUUGCCUUGUCAGUCCUGUUCACACGUCCAUGUGACCGGCCAUCAUUUAGAAAUCAAGAUCGAUGCUGUACACGUUAGUGCCAUUACAAAGUAGAAAAAGAAAAAGAAAAAAGCAACCGCUUCAGUUCAAUUCACAAUUCCAAGUUUUUGCGCACUCGUGUUUUCUCAAGCACUCUAUCUAGCCCGGUAUAGUUGGGCAGUUUCAGAAUUGUAGAUACCAAUGAGGAUUUUAUCAUGCUUAUUGUCUCAAAUUAUUAAAUCUUAUAACUCUCUGAUAAGCUAGGUUAUUUUGACGUUGCAUGCCCCUCAUUCUCCAGUCUCAUGCAUGCGUGUGCUUUAGACUUUAGUUAUGCAUGUAUGAUUUUCCAAAAAGGGUUUCAUGGAGACGGAGCUCCAAAACGAACUGGGUUGGUGAGUUUAGCACCGCCAUAUAUUCUGAUAGAGUAAGGAUUAUAUUGUGGUAAUGUUCUUUCCCUCCGUUUGUCAUAUUUUGAAUCAAGAGGGUUUCAUUGUAAUUCUUAGUUAUAGGAGUUAUUUUAUAAUUUCUUGUAUCUAUGAUCGAAGCAUUGUAUCUAUGAUUUUGUUGAGUUUGAAUAAAGUCACAUGCCCUUCUGAGCCACGCGGAAUACCGCACCACCAAUCGCGCUCACGCUUGAGACCGCCGUCGCCGGUGGCUGAUCUCCCUCCUCUGGUCGCCUCCGGCCCAGCCAAGUACAGAUCCGGGACCCUCCCGACGUCCUCUCUCCAGCCAUCCCGAAGUUUGGCACCGUCUUCACCGGUUCUCUCCCCGCUGAGCGGCUCGAGUUGGGCCCUCCACCUCUCCCGGUCCCGGUCACGUGCGGCUGCGCGGCCGCAUCGGGGCGCCCCUGUGGGCCCGAGCAAGCCCCCUGCGCCUUUCUAUUCUCUCGCCUCCGCCGAAGCCGUCGCGGGGCAAAAUCCUGGCAGCAGGACCCCUCGGUCAUCGUUCUCGAGCGUGGGGGCGGCGCUACUCCAGGCGGUGAUGCUCCGGUGUCAGGGGAUCCUUCCUUGGCUUGUGGAGCUGCGGUGGCGGCGGUGAGCCACAAUUUUGGAUGGCGGCGCGGCGCCGUCGUUUAGGCCGGUGUCUCCGGUGGUCGUGGAGGUGCUGGUCGUCCGGUUAGAGGUGACGAGGUCAUGGCUGAUGCUGGAGGAUGUGGCUGGAGCUGAUGCGGGGUGUGCCGUUGCUACUACGGGGCGGAUCUAGCAGGCUUGCCGUGGUGGGCGCCAGAUCCGACCGGUUUGGCUGGCUCCGGCUCGCCGGCUUUUGCAGGCGGUGAGGUUGAUGGCUCCUGCGUGAGGGUGGCGUCGUCGUCGCGUAGGAGGUGUGUGGUACAGCGGGCUUGCAGACCAGUGGUGAUGCGCCACCGGUUGCAUGUGUGGGGGGGGGGGCUCAGCGAGGUGGCUCCAGGCGAAAUCCUAGACGGCACGACGUCCGUGAACGUCGUUUUUCCUCCUUGGGGGUCGUUGUGGAGCCCUUCCUUGCCCAACACCUUCGAACCAUGGACGCCCCCCCUUGGGGGCGUUGCCUUGAGGGUCACUGGUCUCUUCCGUGCUUUCCGGAGCUGGACACACACGACAUCGGGGUCGGCAGGUACCCGUCUGGCGAUGUGGUUGGCGCGACUUCUUGUGUGGUGACGAUGGCGGCUUCAAGCGAAGUUGGUUUGCUGUUGAGUUUUGGUAGUCGGUCUCAUCCCGCGUGUUCGAGGGGUUGCCGCGCCUCACUUUGUCUUCCUGGAGUCGGAGCUGCUGAGGCGGGGCCUUGCGACGACGAUGACGCGAGGCGGGUGGUCGAUUGUGGCGCUGGCUCGGCUCAGGCUCAGUUGUUUUCUCCUACAAUGCUCGUCGACAGAGUUGGAACUGCUUGGUAGUUGGCGUGUGCGGUUGACUGUUUGGCAGUGGCCGGCAUGGGCCUCGGUGUUUGCUUGUGGUGAGGGCUGUUUUGAUGGUCAUCGAUGAUGUAGUCGGAGUCGCCCUUGUGUAGGUGUGAUGAUGAUGACACCGGGUUGCAGCCUCGACGGUGUUCUCUCUUCGGCGACGUGUGUGCGUUCUUAUGUGGGUUGUCACGUCGCCAUGCGUAUCCUGUAUGGACGUGGUGUAGCAGGUUUCACUCGGUUUUUCGUUAAUUAACCCAGCAAUUCUCUUUUUCUUAAUUAAUGGGAUGAGACAAUGCUUUUGCCUGCGUUUAAAAAAACACUAGCUAGCCGACAGUUUGUUCAAUGCGUGCUGUCAUUUUGCACAAAUGCCUAUGUCUCUACCUACUGUGAGGCGCUCACUUGUUGGGAUGUGGUGCGGGCUGUGGUCCGGUUGCGGUGGAGGAGUAACAUUAGUUUGUUUCGUGCAAUUUUCAAAACAUUUCGUCGGAGUUUUUUUCCUGUUUUCUUUAUUGGGUUUCUUUUUUUUCAUUUUCCCUUUUACUUUUUCUGUUCAUUUAUUUCAUGUAUUGUUUUGUAUUUUAUUUUUCCAUAUUUCAAAUACAGCUUGAUUUUUUUUUCAAAAUAGUAAACAUUUUAAAGUAACCAUAGAAUAUUUUCUAAUACAUGUUUGAACGUUUUAUAAGUACAUGGUGAACAAUUUUUAUAUACAAUGAAUAUUUCUCUAAAAACUGCAAGAACACAUUCUGUUUAUUUAAUGAACAUUUUUAUAUUGCCAUGACCAAUUUUAUAAACAUGCGAAAAAAAUUAAAAUGUAGUGUUUUUUUGGAACAAUGCGAAUAUGAAUUUUAAAACUCUGGAAUAAUUUUUAAGACAAGUUGACAUUUUUUAUUUUUUUACGAGAAAACUUCGGAUGUAUUUAUCCAUUGUCAUGUUAGUAUAAGAAUACCAGAACUAACAUAACUUACAUUCAGAUCCAUAGACCAUCUAACGAUGUCUACAAUCACUUGAUCAAGCCGAAAGUGCACCAUGAUCCUCACUCCUCCCUCAUCGGAGUCGGACAAUGUCCAGUCAUGUUUUUUUUACAAACUGUUAAUCAUGUAUGAAUUUUUCUAUUGUGUAUUUCAAAAUUAUCAUGGAUUUUUAAAAAAUAUUGUGCAUUUUUAGAAAAACUGUUAUUUCAAAGGUUCAUCAUGUAUGAAAAGAAAUCUUCAUCAUAAAUUGUUCAAAUUGUCCACAGUGUAUAAAUUCAGAAAAAUAUGAAGACUUUUUAAUUCUAUGUGUAUUUGAAAAAUGUUUAAUAUUUUGAAACGUUUUAUAAAUACACGAUGAAUAUUUUUAAGUAUAUUAACAGCUAUUAUACUGCAUGAUCACCUAUCAAUAGUACAAACCCAUAUAUUUUAUACGCGAUGAAAAAAUCUGUUAAUAAUAAUUUUCAUGGUGCCUUUUCUUGGAAAUCUUGACCUAGGGUGUAGUUACCUUUCACACAUAUCCGAUAUAUAUUUAAGUAAGUCAUCCCAUUUAAAUGCACAUGCAUGUCAAUCACAUUAUGAAGGGUAUGCAACCAAUAAACUUCCACUUACCACUUUUCAUCACAUGCAGGUCCUCGAUAUCAUCAAGCGUGCAUGUAAUCAUUCGACGUUUCACUUCUCAUCAUAUGCAAGUUCCACAUCAUCAAACACAUGAAAGCUCUUCACCUCAUUAUUUUUUACUAUUUAUUUUUUAGCAACAAAUAAUUGAACUUGAAGGUCACAAGAAAAUAUAUUAUGCGUGCACCCUCUAGUUACAUCUAGGUUUUCUAUUGCCAUAUGCUGAGAAUGUUGUGUGGUAUUAUUCCUACAUAUGCUAUUUUUCAUAAUUUCAUUGCUAUAAAUUUUCGUGACAAUGUGUGUGACGUUUACCUAGUAGUAGCAGAGCCAGCUUACUCACACAGCCUGGGCAUAAAUAUAACAGCGUGCCUAGAACUUAUCUAGACCAGAUAUAAUUUAGUCGCAUUCAUCUAGAAAAUCAAAACAGAUACAAAGUAGUACUACAACUCACGUCGGCACACGCACAUCUUAUAGUCACAUCCAAUGACUAUAAAAGAUGAACGAGACAUAACUAAAAUUCAGUUAGAUGAGUUUUAGCAAAACCGUAAAUAUAACGCACUCGGUCGGGACUUACUUCGUAGGUGAAGGGUAGAGAAGAAGGCCACUGUCUUGCGUGUGAGUGCACUUUAUACAUCUAGAACACCAGACACGUAUACAUAUGUGAUAUGUCUGCUGCUAGGAAGUCAUUCUCUUCUCUUUUGUUGACAUUAGCUUUCCCCCCAAAAAAGACCAUAUAAUAUGAAACAAUCACAUAGAGAGAAAAUAACAGGGACUGCACCCCAUAGAGAAAACAACAUAGACUGCAGUCCACUGACAAAAUAGCUCAUUUAUGUUUUGUUGUUUGGAAAAGGAGGUUCAAACCCCCGGCCUCUGCAUCAAUCGAUGCAUACGGUAGCUCAUUUAUGUGAAUACAAUCAUGCGUAGAUACUCCAAAGAACAACAAGUCGAGUCACAAUGUCCCAUACAAAGUAGAUGAACAUAUACCAACAAGCAAAUACUAGUAAUUACAGAGUACUAGUACUCAUCACGCGUAUAUGGAAAAAUAGAAUGAAAUGGAAUACAGGGAAUACUACUACACCACUUAUUCUAGAAAUAGCACAGUGGGGCUUGGUACGGGGUCUCCUCCUCCAUCAACUCUCAUAUAUAAGUAUCCCAUCAGUCGUGAGCUGCCGGUGGUUUGCACUUCGGAGGUGGUUCAGGUUUAGGCUCGGGCUCCGGCUUUGGUUCGGGUUUCGGCAUCGGCUCGGGCUUAGGAUCUGGCUUUGGUUUGGAGCAGGGCUCAGGCUUUGGUUUUGGCAUUGGCUUGGGCUUGGGUUCUGGUUCGGGCUUCUCUCCAGGCUUUUCUUCAGGCUUUGGUUUCGGCAUCGGUUCAGGUUUGCAGGGCUCUGGCUCUGGUUGUGGUGUAGGUUUGGACAUUGGCUCUGGUUUGGGUUCUGGCUUUGGCUCUAUCUCUGCAAAAAUUUCGACAGCAGGAAGGCCUCGGUCAGCCGCGGCAGCUUGGUUGAGAGUGGAGGCUGCAACUACCCCAAUGAGGAUCAUGGCGAGGAGGCGAUGCCUCGCCAUUGCUGCCUACUUCUUGUGCUUGCAGCUAGUGUUGCACACCUGCUGUGCUUUGUGUGUGGUUGUGUGUGUUGUGUGGAGAACUGGAGAUACAUAUUGUGUGGUUUUAUAGGCUGGGUGAAACAAAGCAGAUCUGGAGGCUGCAUUAAUUAGCAUUGGUUGAUUAGUUGAGUACAAAUGAAGCAACAACCAACGUAGCUAGAGGUGUUAAUAAGAACAGUUGGAUUUUGCCUGAGUGUGUCUCUAAUGCGAUGAUAGUAGGGUGAGUAACAAUAUUUUUACUCUAUUGGUUGCCUCCCGGUAGUAAUAGAAUUCUGUUAGUUGCCUUGUUAAUCUUGUUCACACGUCCUUGUUAGUUGCAUCAUUUAGAAAAAUCAAGAUCGACAGUGUACACGUUAGAGUAAUGCACUACAAGUAAAAAAGCAAUCGCUUGAGUUCAAUUCACAAUGAAAAGUGAAGGUAGUCUUUGAAGAGGAACUGGCUUGAUCGUACGUGCACGUCGUGUGUGAGCUUCACCACCUGUUGGAAACCCUCAAGACUCCUUGGUCUGCUUCCUCGACCGAGUUUUCACGAACUCUGCUGUGUUUUCUCAAGUGGUUUUCAAGAAGGUGGCGUUGGAUUAAUCCAUGCACAAGUUUUGCCAGAUUAUGCUGAAUGAUAUAACAAAAGUGAAGGUGUACAUCAUUUGAUGUCGAUGACGGGGUUCCUCCUUUAACAAAUAAGUGUUUUCUCAAACACUCCCUCUGGCCGGUAUACUGGGCACAGUUCCAAAAUUGUAGAUAUCAAUGAGGAUUUUAUCACGCUUAUUGUCUUAAAUUAUUAAAUCUUAUUAACUCUCCGACAAACUAAGAGCAACUCUAACAGAUCGUGUAUUCUAUGAAACUGUAGAUGUGAUUUAUAGUUCGCACAGCAGGAUCUAUACAGGCUGAAAAUUACAGCGGUAGAAUAGAAACCGUAAAAGAAACUCAAAUUUGCUUGUUGGCUUGAUGACGUGAGUCUCGCCGCCUCCUUCUCCCCUAAUAAUAAAGCAACUAACGCUUCGGUCGUCCGUCGUCGCCGAUCGCAGGACGUUUUGCAGAAAGGCUCCUAAGGUUUUAGGUAUUCAACCCGCGGUCCCUUUUAAGUGGUAUCUGAGAAAACGUUUCAGUUUUGCAAAUUAACCACUGCAUCUCGUGAGAAUUCGAUCCGCACUCCUUUGUUCUAUCUUCUCUAGUGGUGGAGAAGGUGGAAGGGGAAUAACUUCAGCUCGGCUCGUCGGCGAGCGUGUUGCAGGAGGCCGACGAGGAGGCCAGUGGGCGUUGUGCGCUUACAGGGGAGCGGGUAGGCCGGAGGUGGAGGGGAUGGCCGGAGGCUGAGGGCAGUGGAGAGAGAGGCCGAGAGAGUCGGCCCGAGGGAGGGGGGACUGAGAGAAAGAGAGAGAGAGUGUGUGUGUGAGCCGGAGAGGGGCGGUCGCCGGAGCCGGACCUCCAGAACAACGACGCAACAAUCUGGAUGGCACAACGGCUUUGAUCCCGGAGAAUGGUGAUUGAUGGCUGCCAACAGACGGAUCCGGGCGAAGGAGGCUCUGAGAGGCGCAUGGAAGGCUGUCAAGGUUGGGGGCGCCGGAUCCAGAGUUCGCAUGGUGAGAGAUGGGGAGAGGGUAGAAUCUUGCUAGUAUAAGACGAGUUAGAGAAGCGGCAACGCCUGCAGAACAGAGCAUGAAGGCAGCUCCUUUUGAGGAGGCGACGACGGACGACAGAGCUCGUGACUGCGACCUUCUCGGCUCCUGCCGGCGUGGUCACUCAAUUCGCUCCACGGCGCGAUGGCCCAUUGCCGGCAAGGCAGCGUUCUGCAACGCACCAGCCUGCAAUGGAGGCGGUGUCCAUGGUGCAGCCGUGGCCUUCAGCGCACACCGCGGGGGAAGUGCUACCGGACACCGGCUUGGCCCCGAUGCUGCUCCUCCCAGACGGUGGUACCCAUGGCCUGGCCCACUAGCCCCCGACUGAGCUCCCAGCAGAGGCGCACAUCGAUGGAGGCUUCGAGCAGGCCGCUCUGCCAUGCUUGUGCAAUGGGGGUCUGCCCGCGUGCUGGGGUGGGGAUGCACGGAUGGACAGAUCCUGGCAGUGGCUGCCACGGUGGCCGGGCACUAAGUACCGGAGUGAUUCGUGGGUGCAGCACGGACAGCUGUUGUGAGGAGCACAGCCAGGCAUCAGCGCUGGUCUCCUCUUCUCUGUAGCUGCAGGAGGAAUGGUGAUGUUUUGGAUAAGGGUCACGUAGUGCGCAGUUAGGUGAAGAUUUAGUGCCUAUUGCUAUUUUUUGAUCAAUAGUUGUUGGUAGAUGUACACGGACUUAAGCUGCUGGAUACUUCGGUGCUCAUCCCGUUGGAUUUAUAUGCGAUUGUUCGUGACGUUCCAACAAAUUGUUAUUUGCUAGAUGUUCUUUUUCACAUUAGUUCAUUAUAAUUAUUUGAUUGUACCGCCUUAUAGAGCAUCUACAACCGGACUUAACAAAUCUGACCUCUCAAACGUUCAUGGAAACGUCCGGACGCAUCUGCGGACGUUGAUCAAUUAAGCCUCAAAUAACGAAUUCUACAACCGGAUACUUUAAAUUAGAAACCUCAAAUAUAUAUUAUUACAUGCAACAUAAAUCUAAUAUUAAGCGUGGCUCGUUUGGGUCCGCCCUGUCCAUGUCGAAAGGCUAGAUAUGCCCUUCAUAGUGUCCGUCCGAUCGUUAGCAAGGUAGAGUAGGACAUGGGACACUGGCCGGUUCAUGGAAGUCGAGUUUCCGUCGUCUUCCAUGCCCAAUUCUUCCUUAAAUUUAUCACUUAGUGUUACUACAGAACAAUCCAACCGUCAACUGCAAAGUUAGUAUACGGAACUACAUGAUCAGCUUCAAGGAGCAUGUCUACGUGCUCCAACACUAGCGCAUUCAUGAAUAUUUGUUUAUAAUUUGUACAAAAACUUAUUUGGACUUAUUUAAAAUUGUAAACAUUCUAAUGAUCCUAUUUUAUAAUGUUUGUAUAAGUAAAAUCAAAUUUCAUGGCUAAAAGAAAUACUCAGUGUAACCUUACUUCUAAAGCUUGCAAAAAUUAGAUUAAAAUAAUAUUGCAUAAUGACACAGGAAGAAAAUUAUAUUUAACAUUUCGGCCGGUGCAACGGCACGGGCAUUUGUAUUAGUAGAUGUCUAUGACAGCAAGGCACGAACUUGUCACUCCCCGUAGGCAUAUUACCAGUGCCACCCAUUCGUCGAAGCAUGUUAAAUGUUAGCGCACUAAUUUAUAAAAAAAUAAUUUGUGCAUUUACUUUUGUUGUCAGUUUUAGGAUUAAUAUAAUGUUGCUUAAAAAUAUUUGUCGGGUGCUGAAAAAAGGGGAAAAGGACGAUCAAUUUGCCAACUUCACACAAGGGCUCUCAAAAUCAUAGAGCCGACCCUGCCAGCACCAUGUGACUUGUGAGAGAUUAUUAUGGCUUCUCGUAUGUUGUGUAGCACUAUCAUUAAGAGCAAUUCUAGCAGACCCUGCAUCCGCCCCCGAUCUGCAAAAUAACCGCUAAAAUGCGGGUACGGACCGAAAAGCCUGUCCGACCAGACCCUGCAUCCCAUCCCGGCCCGUAAAUUUUUUUCAGGGGCGCGGCAAAUUCUCGACCCCAACCCGGGAAAACACGGGUUUCCCCCUCGCGGCUGCGGUGCCCUGCAUCACAGAGAAGCAGUUGGCGGGAGGGACAUUUCAGCCCGUGCUCUUUUCCCCCUCCUUCCGCCGCCGCCCACCCUUGCUUCCGCUCGCCCGCCGCCGGCGAUUCCGGCCAUAUCUGCAGGCGAGCCGCUGCAUCGCCCCUCCAGAUCCGGCGAGAAGAGUCGCCCCCCCCCACCGCCGGGGAUCGACCACCGUCAAGCGCACCCCCUCGUCGCCGCCCGGGAUCACCCGCCACCGGUUAGUCCCCUUUUUGCGAUUUUUGCGAGCUGUGCGAGAAGAUGGAGUUGACCCCGUGCGAGAAGUUUUUACUAUCCGAUUCGUCCGAUUCGGACGACUCGUAUGUUGAGACCAUGCUUGCGAUCUUUCGGCAGCAAACAUUAGUCAUGGCGCUUGCCGUGAAGGAGCAUGAAGACGAGCACUGGAAGAGGAGGCGAGGAUCGAUUGUCGGGCGCUUGUGCAUUCCUCGAAAUCGCCAUCUUGGGAACGAGAUGUUGAUGCAAGACUAUUUCGCGGAGAAUCCUACAUAUCCUCCGCACCUCUUCCGGAGAAGGUACCGAAUGCGCCGAUCCCUCUUUGUGAAACUUGUUCAAGCUUGCGAGGCAAAUUGCCGGUAUUUUACUCAAAGAAGGAAUGUCGCGGGCUGAAAGGCUUGGUUGUUGUUGUUGUUGUUGUUGUUGUAAGGAAUGCUGCGGGCUUAAAGGGAUUUAGUGCAUAUCAAAAAAUCUCCGCACCUAUGGGGGGUGAUUGCAUAUGGCGUUCCGGCUGACUAUGCCGAUGAGUAUCUUCGUAUUGGUGAAUAUAGCACAAUUGAGUCUGUGCGUAGAUUUGCGAAAGUGAUCAUCCGUGUCUUCGGUCCUGAGUAUCUUCGGGCACCCAAUGAAGGACACAAAGAAAUUGAUGGCAUCUGAUGAGAGGAGAGGUUGGCCUGGCAUGCUAGGUAGCAUUGAUUGUAUGCAUUGAAAUUGGAAAAAUUGCCCCAAGGCUUGGCAAAGAAUGUAUUGUGGCAAGUCUAGUGAUGCAACAAUUGUGCUAGAGGCCGUAGCAUCUGAAGAUUUAUGGAUUUGACAUUGCUUUUUUGGUAUGUCGGGAACUCUCAAUGAUAUCAUUGUGUUGCAACGGUCUCAUUUAUUUGCUAGGCUUGCUAGUGGUGAUGCUCCUGCUUGCAACUACAUUAUCAAUGGGCAUGAAUACACAAAGGGGUACUAUCUUGCAGAUGGUAUGUACCCUCCUUGGUGCACAUUUAUCAAGAGCAUCAAAGAACCCAAAACAAAAAAACAAUGUGAAUUUGCAAGGGUGCAAGAGGCAGCCCGCAAAGACAUUGAAAGAGUAUUCGGUGUUUUGCAAUCUAGGUUUGCCAUUGUCCGUGAUCCUGCUCGUUUUUGGGAUAAGAAAACCUUGAAGAACAUCUUGACAUGUUGUGUUAUCCUGCACAAUAUGAUUCUUGAAGAUGAGAGAGGAUUGGACUUAGAAUUAUUUUACGACAAUGUGGGUAGCCGUGUUUAACCAGCUAGAGACCCAAACCACAUUAGAGAUUUUCUUCAGACAUACAAGGAGAUUGAAAAUGCAGACACGUACUUUCAACUUCAGGAAGAUCUCAUUGAGCACCAUUGGCAAAGGGCUGGACAGUGACUUAUUUUUGUAUUCAUUUGUAUUUGCAUUCAUGACAAGUUUUGUAUUGCACUAUUUAAGUUUGCUACGGUUAUUUGAAUAAUUAUUUAUAAUGCGGAUGAUUAUUGUAUUAUGUUUGAUUCGAAUAAUUUAGUUUGUUUUCGAUUGUUGAAUUAUGUUGUAUUUGAUACUUGCGGGUUGAUGAUAUGCGGGAUGUAGCGGCGCAAAGAGCAGACCCCGCAAAGCCGACCCGUUAAAAAGUAUAUUCCACGAAUGUAUUUUUUUACGGAUCCGUUUGGGGGGUCUGCAUAUGUGUCAGCCUGCAAAAGCUGUUUUGCGCGAACUGCAAACGCGUGUUGUGGACCGGCGGGAUGUGGGGUCUGCUAGAGUUGCUCUAAGAGAUUUUUCUUCGUGCGAACUGAGUAAGAGAAAAUCUUUUAAAAUAACUUUCAUGGUGCCUUUUCUUCGUAAUCUUGACCUAUGGGGUGUAGUUACACGUAAUCUUUGUAAUCUUGUUGGCAGCGCAGGUGGUGGCGGCAACGCAGGACGGCCGGCGGGCGAACGGGACAGAGCAGCAUCGAGUGGCCACCCCUAGGAUUGAUUUGGGGACGUUGUUGGAUGGUCUCACAUGUCAGAUCCAGACCCACAUCCAUGCGGUUCCACAUGUAAGAUCCGGACCCACUAUCACUAACGCCGGCGGACGGAAUGGACUCAAAACUGCCCGUUUGGCCUCGUCAUAGUAGUUGCGCACGGGCUAGAGGCAAAACUGAGCACGAUUUGCAACUGAGGGCAAAAGUGAGCAUAUGGACACCACUGAGAACAAAAAGAUAAUUAUCCCUAUUAAAUAGUGGUGCUUUUUCUACGAAUAUAAUCAAUUCCAUAAUGCUAUCCGCUUUGACCAUCCUAUUACCCUAAAUGGAAAGCAAAGUAGGUUAUUCAGCACACCAUAACUUCGUUCCUUGGUUGACUGCCUGGCCUUCAAGAAACUAGAAAAAAUGUAAUAACUCACUUCACUAUGAGCGGCUCCCUCCCCACCAAUUGGGUAGAUGGAAGCUAUAUACGUAUAGAAAAAAGUAAACCACAAUGAGAAACAUACUUGCCCCAUUAGCAUCCAUAUGACGGAGCAACCAGCCCCCUUCAACAUCUUUCAUAAUGUGUUCUACGCUGUUGAAAGCUAGAUCCACAUGAGGUGUGUGAUGCAUAAUACACCUCAAUGUGUGCUGCUAUUUAGGGAGUCCUUCUCGGGAGGGGCGUUUUGGCUCCCGGGUACAAAUGCUCCUGGGUGAACAGUAACGCAAAAAUUAUUAGAAAACAAUUUAAAAAAAUCUGAAUUUAUUUGUGGGUGUUCGUGUUAGUGUCACAAACAUGCCUGCCAAAUUUCAUGCAAAACGAAGCAGUGCUGCUUCGUCGGUGAAAAAAACAAAUUUGGAUGACAUUUUGAGAUAACAUUUGGUGUUUUAGUUUGUUUUUUCUUUUACACGGGCA